CCUACGGGAGGCAGCAGUCGAGAAUCAUUCACAAUGGGGGAAACCCUGAUGGUGCGACGCCGCGUGGGGGAAUGAAGGUCUUCGGAUUGUAAACCCCUGUCAUGUGGGAGCAAAUUAAAAAGAUCGUACCACAAGAGGAAGAGACGGCUAACUCUGUGCCAGCAGCCGCGGUAAUACAGAGGUCUCAAGCGUUGUUCGGAAUCACUGGGCGUAAAGCGUGCGUAGGCUGUUUCGUAAGUCGUGUGUGAAAGGCGCGGGCUCAACCCGCGGACGGCACAUGAUACUGCGAGACUAGAGUAAGGGAGGGGGAACCGGAAUUCUCGGUGUAGCAGUGAAAUGCGUAGAUAUCGAGAGGAACACUCGUGGCGAAGGCGGGUUCCUGGACAGUAACUGACGCUGAGGCACGAAGGCCAGGGGAGCGAAAGGGAUUAGAUACCCGGGUAGUC
This 446-nucleotide ribosomal RNA is filed under the name uncultured bacterium. Its description in RNAcentral is "partial 16S ribosomal RNA". It matches the Rfam family "Bacterial small subunit ribosomal RNA", at positions 338 to 795 of the family's 1533-position model. The record is from RNAcentral.